This 824-nucleotide ribosomal RNA is filed under the name Stichodactyla gigantea. RNAcentral's name for it is "partial 12S ribosomal RNA". It matches the Rfam family "Bacterial small subunit ribosomal RNA", at positions 344 to 1498 of the family's 1533-position model. The record is from RNAcentral. Lineage: Eukaryota; Metazoa; Cnidaria; Anthozoa; Actiniaria; Stichodactylidae.
AAAGGCAGGAGUAGAGAUCUUGUGCAAUCAACGAAAGUAUGACACAGAGAGGACACAUUUAAUUAAGCCCGUCAAAUUAAGUGCCAGCCGACGCGGUUAAACUUAAGGGCUGGUCUUUAUAAGUAAAAAGGCGUAAAGGAUGUGUAGGCCAAGAAACAAUUAAAGUAGGUAAAUGGAAUUUUUCUGGAGCGGUAGAAUGCGAGGAUAGAAAAUAGAACCCCUAAGGUAAAAACUAUUUACCACAAGGUAGGCUGAAACAUGAAAGUGUGGGGAGCAAACAGGAUUAGAGACCCUGGUAGUCCACACUGUAAACUUUGAAGAUGAUGCUUAGCAGACCCGAAAGGUAAAAUCUUCCGCCUGAGUAGUACGAUCGCAAGAUUAAAAUUCAAAAACUUUGGCUGUUCACUAUUUCGAUUAGAGGAGCGUGUAGUUUAAUUCGAUGGUCCGCGUGUUACCUUACCCCAACUUGAAUCUGUGACCGGUAUUGCAUGGCCGUCGUAAGUUCGUGUAUUAAGCUAAAAGGGACCCAACCCGGGCAUUUGCCCGGAGGAAGUCAGGUCUUAUGAUCCGAAUGUUGGGGGAUUUUAUGCGCUACAUUUUCUUAUAUAAUGGGAAACCUGAAAGGUGAGCCUCUAAAGUAAGAGUUCGGAAGGUCGCUGUAAGACGACUGGAAGUUGGAUUUAAUAGUAAUCGGAAAGUAGGGCGUUCCGGUGAAUUGGUACAAGUGUUAGCACAAAUUGCCCGUCACCUUUACCUAGAAUGGUUAUUCGGACGUCUUCGGUGAUUACGAAUGCCUACGAGGUAAAGCAAGUCGUAACAUAGUA